RNAcentral lists this unclassified non-coding RNA (299 nucleotides) under plant metagenome. Its description in RNAcentral is "partial contains small subunit ribosomal RNA, internal transcribed spacer 1, and 5.8S ribosomal RNA". The record is from RNAcentral.
UUUCCGUAGGUGAACCUGCGGAAGGAUCAUUAACAUGUCACUCUGUCAUGCUGCCGCGUGAACUGUACAAACCCACUCUGUGUACCUCUCCUGUUGCUUCCGCUGAGCCUGGAGCAUUUCAGAUGAGUUGUCUCUCGCACAGUCAAUUGCUGUGUGGGGUUGGCAACUCUCGGUGACUGCUCUGGAUUCACAUGCCCAGCGGGAGGAUACUUAAUUUCCCGAUUUACUAUUUCAUCUGUCUGAACUAUGAACCAAAAAAAAAAUUGUUAAAACUUUCAGCAACGGAUCUCUUGGUUCUC